Podarcis lilfordi (Lilford's wall lizard) is the source of this 73-nucleotide non-coding RNA. Lineage: Eukaryota; Metazoa; Chordata; Lepidosauria; Squamata; Lacertidae. The record is from the annotation of a GenBank genome assembly.
AGCUGAUGUGGUGCAAUGGUGAAAGUGCCGGACUAGGACCUGGGAGACUGGGGUUCAAAUCCCCACUUGGCUA